UAAAGUUUCCAUUGGACUUGGCACUGGAUGCGUAUUUUUCGGAUUAUCUGUCGUAUAUUUCUAUUUUCAAUAUCAGGAUUUCAACAGAAAACAAUCAGAUGAUUGGGAUAGCAAUAAAUAUAAACCUAUUGUGAUUCUUGGUGGUUCGGACUGCGCAAUAUGUUUAAAGCAGAAGGACAGUAGAAGUGAGCCUGUAGUAACUUUAUUUUGUAAUCACGGUAUGUAUAGUGUACAGUAUAAGUAAGCCUGUAGAUACUAUUUUGUAAUCACGGUAAGAAUAGUGUACAGUAGAAGUGAGUCUGUAGUAACUUUAUUUUGUAAUCACGGUAUGUAUAGUGUACAGUAGAAGUGAGUCUGUAGUAACUUUAUUUUGUAAUCACGGUAUGCAUAGUGUACAGUAGAAGUAAGCCUGUAGAUACUAUUUUGUAAUCACGGUAUGAAUAGUGUAUGGUAGAAGUGAGCCUGUAGUAACUUUAUUUUGUAAUCACGGUAUGUAUAGUGUACAUUAGAAGUGAGUCUGUAGUAACUUUAUUUUGUAAUCACGGUAUGUAUAGUGUACAGUAGA
This is a long non-coding RNA of Mytilus californianus (California mussel), 565 nucleotides long. RefSeq lists it as uncharacterized. The transcript has 3 exons. Lineage: Eukaryota; Metazoa; Mollusca; Bivalvia; Mytilida; Mytilidae. The record is from RefSeq and is a predicted model, not a curated record.